CGGCGAGUGAAGCGGCAAAAGCUCAGAUUUGAAAUCUGGCGUCAUUUUGGCGUCCGAGUUGUAAUCUGUAGAGGUGUAUUCGAGUGUGGCUUUGGCUUAAGUUCCUUGGAACAGGACGUCAUAGAGGGUGAGAACCCCGUUAACGGCCUUUGUCUUAUGCUCAUGUGAAUCUCCUUCAACGAGUCGAGUUGUUUGGGAAUGCAGCUCUAAAUGGGUGGUAAAUUCCAUCUAAAGCUAAAUACUGGCAAGAGACCGAUAGCGCACAAGUAGAGUGAUCGAAAGAUGAAAAGAACUCUGAACAGAGAGUUAAAUAGUACGUGAAAUUGUUGAAAGGGAAGCACUUGCGACCAGACGCACUUGCAGCUGAUCAACUUCCAUUCUUGGAGGUGCACUCAGUUGUUUGUGGGUCAGCAUCAGUUAUGGCGGUGGGAAAAAGACCAAGGGAAUGUGGCUCCUUUCGGGGAGUGUUAUAGCCCCUGGUGAAAUGCUGCCUGCUGUGACUGAGGACCGCGCUUCGGCGAGGAUGCUGACAUAAUGGUCGUAAGUGACCCGUCUUGAAACACGGACCAAGGAGUCUAACAUCUAUGCGAGUGUUUGGGUGUUCAAACCCUUACGCGUAAUGAAAGUAAAUGGAGGUGGGAACCGUAAGGUGCACCAUCGACCGAUCCUGAUGUUCUCGGAUGGAUUUGAGUAGGAGCAUAGCUGUUGGGACCCGAAAGAUGGUGAACUAUGCCUGAAUAGGGUGAAGCCAGAGGAAACUCUGGUGGAGGCUCGCAGCGGUUCUGACGUGCAAAUCGAUCGUCAAAUUUGGGUAUA
This 816-nucleotide ribosomal RNA is filed under the name Chromelosporium macrospermum. Its description in RNAcentral is "LSU rRNA". It matches the Rfam family "Eukaryotic large subunit ribosomal RNA", at positions 87 to 919 of the family's 3401-position model. Lineage: Eukaryota; Fungi; Ascomycota; Pezizomycetes; Pezizales; Pezizaceae. The record is from RNAcentral.